UUGUUCUGCAUAUGUAUGUAUGUGUGUAUGUGUACAUACACACACAUACAUAUGUACAUGUACAUAUAUAUGUAUAUGUACACACACACACAUAUAUAUAUGUAUAUGUAUAGAAA
This 116-nucleotide microRNA precursor is filed under the name Procavia capensis (Cape rock hyrax). Its description in RNAcentral is "miRNA (ENSPCAG00000019098.1)". The record is from RNAcentral. Lineage: Eukaryota; Metazoa; Chordata; Mammalia; Hyracoidea; Procaviidae.